UGGGACCGACCGUAAUCGGGCCGCGCGGC
RNAcentral lists this small RNA (29 nucleotides) under Bombyx mori (domestic silkworm). Its description in RNAcentral is "ovarian small RNA-34993". Lineage: Eukaryota; Metazoa; Arthropoda; Insecta; Lepidoptera; Bombycidae. The record is from RNAcentral.